ACGGAAGGCAGCAGUGAGGAAUAUUGGUCAAUGGACGGAAGUCUGAACCAGCCAAAUCGCGUGAAGGAUGAAGGUAUUAUGUAUUGUAAACUUCUUUAGCAGUGGAGUAAUAAGGGGAUCGCGAUCCCUGAUGCAAGUACACUGAGAAUAAGGAUCGGCUAACUCCGUGCCAGCAGCCGCGGUAAUACGGAGGAUCCGAGCGUUAUCCGGAUUUAUUGGGUUUAAAGGGUGCGCAGGCGGCUUUUUAAGUCAGUGGUUAAAUCGUGACGCUCAACGUCAUCACGCCAUUGAUACUGGAGAGCUUGAUUGCGGUCGAGGUUUGCGGAAUUCGUUGUGUAGCGGUGAAAUGCAUAGAUAUGACGAAGAACACCGAUUGCGUAGGCAGCAGACCAGGCCGUAAAUGACGCUCAUGCACGAAAGUGCGGGGAUCGAACAGGAUUAGAUACCCUGGUA
This 453-nucleotide ribosomal RNA is filed under the name uncultured Porphyromonadaceae bacterium. RNAcentral describes it as "partial 16S ribosomal RNA". It matches the Rfam family "Bacterial small subunit ribosomal RNA", at positions 341 to 792 of the family's 1533-position model. Lineage: Bacteria; Pseudomonadati; Bacteroidota; Bacteroidia; Bacteroidales; Porphyromonadaceae. The record is from RNAcentral.